RNAcentral lists this long non-coding RNA (704 nucleotides) under Ananas comosus (pineapple). Its description in RNAcentral is "long non-coding RNA (ACOM_LNC028182)". Lineage: Eukaryota; Viridiplantae; Streptophyta; Magnoliopsida; Poales; Bromeliaceae. The record is from RNAcentral.
CCGUUCCCGUUAGCGACGCUUCAUUUCGUUCGCCCCCUCGAUGCCUGUCAUGCCCCGAGCUCGGUCCUAUUUGGCCGGUUUGAGCACGUCGAACAGACGCCGAACGAACAGCACCUCCCCUGUCCGCCCAAGGCUCAACAACAAGUACAGAGCAAGUAUAUAAAUUGCAUAGCGGAAAUAUAAAAAUCCUUGGCUUGCACGAGGGCAAGCAAUAGCCAAAAGUGAAAGUACUAAACUAAACCAUAUACAAGUACAAUGAUUAACUUUUAACCAUAUACAAGCAUUUAACCACAAGUUACAUUUACCUUUCAUCAUUUCUUUUACAUCACAUAAUCCCAAAAUAGGCCUUUACAUUUAACAUCUUUAAUACAUUUGCAUCAUUCAUAUAACUCUAAUCAUCAAAAUACAAAAGAUGAUAUAUAUAUAAAAGGGUAUGUAACUACUCAAAGUGUAACCAACUCGGGUGGUCCCUGUCUAUGGCGCGAUACCUUUACCGCGAUCGUCGGCCGGCUCACUUGGUCCCGACUCUGUGCAAAUAGUGGGGUGAGAACUACAACAAAAUUUCCAGUGGGUUCGGCCGCCGACCUCGCCGACUUUUCCACUAGGUCUAAAUCAGGCAUAAUAGAAAAAUAGAUAGAUAGUAACCAACUAACAAAUGCAGCUAGUAUACCUGAACAAUAUAAUCAAUGAUUAUGCUCAAUAGA